UUUAAAGAGAGUUUGAUCCUGGCUCAGGACGAACGCUGGCGGCGUGCCUAAUACAUGCAAGUCGAACGAACGGAGGAAGAGCUUGCUCUUCCAAUGUUAGUGGCGGACGGGUGAGUAACACGUGGGCAACCUGCCUGUAAGUUGGGGAUAACUCCGGGAAACCGGGGCUAAUACCGAAUGAUAAGAUGUGGCGCAUGCCACGCCUUUGAAAGAUGGUUUCGGCUAUCGCUUACAGAUGGGCCCGCGGUGCAUUAGCUAGUUGGUAGGGUAAUGGCCUACCAAGGCAACGAUGCAUAGCCGACCUGAGAGGGUGAUCGGCCACACUGGGACUGAGACACGGCCCAGACUCCUACGGGAGGCAGCAGUAGGGAAUCUUCCGCAAUGGACGAAAGUCUGACGGAGCAACGCCGCGUGUAUGAAGAAGGUUUUCGGAUCGUAAAGUACUGUUGUUAGAGAAG
RNAcentral lists this ribosomal RNA (458 nucleotides) under Listeria monocytogenes. RNAcentral's name for it is "bacterial SSU rRNA". It matches the Rfam family "Bacterial small subunit ribosomal RNA", at positions 1 to 447 of the family's 1533-position model. The record is from RNAcentral. Lineage: Bacteria; Bacillati; Bacillota; Bacilli; Caryophanales; Listeriaceae.